AUAGGAGCAGGGGAGAUACCAUGAUCAGGAAGGUGGUUUUCCCAGGGCGAGGCUUGUCCAUUGCACUCUGGAUGUGCUGACACUUGUGAUUCCCCCAAAUGUGGGAAACCUGACUGCAUAAUGUGUGGUAGUGGGGAACUGUGUUUGCCCUCUCCCCUA
Molecule: small nuclear RNA, 159 nt
Organism: Pteronotus mesoamericanus
Lineage: Eukaryota; Metazoa; Chordata; Mammalia; Chiroptera; Mormoopidae
Product: U1 spliceosomal RNA
Exons: 1
Source: RefSeq, a predicted model, not a curated record